AUGGACCCAGGCCUGGAAGCACAAAUGUGCAUGCACCGCGUCCCCCAAGAGCGGCGCUGCCGGCCACCGGGCAGCUGGACGCCGCUUAGGGAGGUCAGGUACGGUGACGGCCGCUCUGUCCGUCCCCGCUCAGCUGUCAGCAACCUGAACCCUCCCUGCUGGCCGGGAGCCUCGGGGCCUAAAUUAGGGUCUGAGGGAGAGGCUCUGGCGUCACAGGGCACAUCCACCGCCACUGCAGCCAAAAUGUCCGGUCCCGGAGCCGGAGGGGCCCGUCUGUCUAGAGGGUGGCUGGCGACAAGCAUCUACGGGAAGCUCGAGGGUGCCCACCCUGUGGACGCCCGGCCGGGGAGGGUCCAGCCCAGCCCCCUCCCCAGCCUAAGCAGACCCCCUGCCCCUGCCUUCCGGCCCAGCGGCUGCGUCCCAGGCCGAGGGAUCGGGUUCCCCCCACCUCACGGGGCUGCGUCUUAUCUCUGGGAAAGAGAUUACGGGUUUCUGAUGUUAAAUUUUCAUGCUGAAGUUUUCAGCAUGGACUUUGGAAAGUGCUUUGUUCCAAACAACACCUGGAGAGAGAAGGAGGAUGUCAGGUCUGCUCACACAGGCUGUGACCCUGGGGGUGGGAGGGAGCGUUCUGUCCCGGGCCCCCCGCCACCCCCCUGCCCACCGCCCAAGGCCCAGGCCAGCGCCUCCCCCUCCCCAAACGCAGUUACGGAUUCCGGCCACGCGAGCCUCUUCCUGGGCCCGGCUGCGGCCAGGCCCCCUCCAGCGGGCCGGGUCUGCACGGCCCCCGGACCUCGUGGCGGGUGUGGAGCGUGGCGUGAGGUGGUCACUGCGCUUUGUGCUCUGUCACAUGUUGGUCUUUGUCUCGUGCGCCGGCCCCAGGCCACCCUCUCACAGCUGCGGGAGCGGAUGGCCAGCUGUCCCACGGCCGCCCCCGGGAGAGGGCAGCCAAGGGGGCCGGGCUGGGACCCCCACCCUGCUCUGUGUCCGAUGGUCCUGUGGACCCGGCUGCAUUCUUGUCUGCGGGAGCAGGAAUCGAAGGGGCCCGUCACGUGUGUCUUUGGGUGA
Molecule: long non-coding RNA, 1065 nt
Filed under: Sus scrofa (pig)
Lineage: Eukaryota; Metazoa; Chordata; Mammalia; Artiodactyla; Suidae
Description: lncRNA (ENSSSCG00070015365.1)
Source: RNAcentral